CGACCGGCGCACGGGUGAGUAACGCGUAUGUAAUCUACCUGUAACAGAGGGAUAACCCGGAGAAAUCCGGACUAAUACCUCAUAGCACAUAUUAUUCGCAUGAAUUUUAUGUUAAAGAGACUCGGUUACAGAUGAACAUGCGUUCCAUUAGCUAGUCGGCGGGGUUACGGCCCACCAAGGCAACGAUGGAUAGGGGUUCUGAGAGGAAGGUCCCCCACACUGGUACUGAGACACGGACCAG
RNAcentral lists this ribosomal RNA (241 nucleotides) under uncultured bacterium. RNAcentral describes it as "partial 16S ribosomal RNA". It matches the Rfam family "Bacterial small subunit ribosomal RNA", at positions 92 to 334 of the family's 1533-position model. The record is from RNAcentral.